This 445-nucleotide ribosomal RNA is filed under the name uncultured bacterium. RNAcentral's name for it is "bacterial SSU rRNA". It matches the Rfam family "Bacterial small subunit ribosomal RNA", at positions 331 to 793 of the family's 1533-position model. The record is from RNAcentral.
CCAGACUCCUACGGGAGGCAGCAGUGGGGAAUAUUGCACAAUGGGGGAAACCCUGAUGCAGCAACGCCGCGUGAGUGAAGAAGUCAUUCGUGAUGUAAAGCUCUAUCAGCAGGGAAGAAAAUGACGGUACCUGAAUAAGAAGCCCCGGCUAACUACGUGCCAGCAGCCGCGGUAAUACGUAGGGGGCAAGCGUUAUCCGGAUUUACUGGGUGUAAAGGGAGCGUAGACGGCGGUGCAAGUCUGGAGUGAAAGGCAGGGGCCCAACCCCUGGACUGCUCUGGAAACUGUAGCGCUGGAGUGCAGGAGAGGUAAGUGGAAUUCCUAGUGUAGCGGUGAAAUGCGUAGAUAUUAGGAGGAACACCAGUGGCGAAGGCGGCCUGCUGGACGAUGACUGACGUUGAGGCUCGAAAGCGUGGGGAGCAAACAGGAUUAGAUACCCCCGUAG